RNAcentral lists this ribosomal RNA (1542 nucleotides) under Enterobacter hormaechei. RNAcentral describes it as "bacterial SSU rRNA". It matches the Rfam family "Bacterial small subunit ribosomal RNA". RNAcentral also lists the same sequence under 7 other names. The record is from RNAcentral. Lineage: Bacteria; Pseudomonadati; Pseudomonadota; Gammaproteobacteria; Enterobacterales; Enterobacteriaceae.
AAAUUGAAGAGUUUGAUCAUGGCUCAGAUUGAACGCUGGCGGCAGGCCUAACACAUGCAAGUCGAACGGUAACAGGAAGCAGCUUGCUGCUUUGCUGACGAGUGGCGGACGGGUGAGUAAUGUCUGGGAAACUGCCUGAUGGAGGGGGAUAACUACUGGAAACGGUAGCUAAUACCGCAUAACGUCGCAAGACCAAAGAGGGGGACCUUCGGGCCUCUUGCCAUCGGAUGUGCCCAGAUGGGAUUAGCUAGUAGGUGGGGUAACGGCUCACCUAGGCGACGAUCCCUAGCUGGUCUGAGAGGAUGACCAGCCACACUGGAACUGAGACACGGUCCAGACUCCUACGGGAGGCAGCAGUGGGGAAUAUUGCACAAUGGGCGCAAGCCUGAUGCAGCCAUGCCGCGUGUAUGAAGAAGGCCUUCGGGUUGUAAAGUACUUUCAGCGGGGAGGAAGGUGUUGAGGUUAAUAACCUCAGCAAUUGACGUUACCCGCAGAAGAAGCACCGGCUAACUCCGUGCCAGCAGCCGCGGUAAUACGGAGGGUGCAAGCGUUAAUCGGAAUUACUGGGCGUAAAGCGCACGCAGGCGGUCUGUCAAGUCGGAUGUGAAAUCCCCGGGCUCAACCUGGGAACUGCAUUCGAAACUGGCAGGCUAGAGUCUUGUAGAGGGGGGUAGAAUUCCAGGUGUAGCGGUGAAAUGCGUAGAGAUCUGGAGGAAUACCGGUGGCGAAGGCGGCCCCCUGGACAAAGACUGACGCUCAGGUGCGAAAGCGUGGGGAGCAAACAGGAUUAGAUACCCUGGUAGUCCACGCCGUAAACGAUGUCGACUUGGAGGUUGUGCCCUUGAGGCGUGGCUUCCGGAGCUAACGCGUUAAGUCGACCGCCUGGGGAGUACGGCCGCAAGGUUAAAACUCAAAUGAAUUGACGGGGGCCCGCACAAGCGGUGGAGCAUGUGGUUUAAUUCGAUGCAACGCGAAGAACCUUACCUACUCUUGACAUCCAGAGAACUUUCCAGAGAUGGAUUGGUGCCUUCGGGAACUCUGAGACAGGUGCUGCAUGGCUGUCGUCAGCUCGUGUUGUGAAAUGUUGGGUUAAGUCCCGCAACGAGCGCAACCCUUAUCCUUUGUUGCCAGCGGUCCGGCCGGGAACUCAAAGGAGACUGCCAGUGAUAAACUGGAGGAAGGUGGGGAUGACGUCAAGUCAUCAUGGCCCUUACGAGUAGGGCUACACACGUGCUACAAUGGCGCAUACAAAGAGAAGCGACCUCGCGAGAGCAAGCGGACCUCAUAAAGUGCGUCGUAGUCCGGAUUGGAGUCUGCAACUCGACUCCAUGAAGUCGGAAUCGCUAGUAAUCGUGGAUCAGAAUGCCACGGUGAAUACGUUCCCGGGCCUUGUACACACCGCCCGUCACACCAUGGGAGUGGGUUGCAAAAGAAGUAGGUAGCUUAACCUUCGGGAGGGCGCUUACCACUUUGUGAUUCAUGACUGGGGUGAAGUCGUAACAAGGUAACCGUAGGGGAACCUGCGGUUGGAUCACCUCCUUA